UAAGAAGCAUGGGGACGGAUACGUAAUACGGAUACGAUACGGUACGGGGACGUAAAUACGUCAUUUUUCCAAAAAUCAAGAUACGAUACGUCAAAAAUACGUUUUAGUUUUUUUAUUUAAAAUAUAUUUUAUAUAUAUUAUAAAUUCAUAAUUCACCAAGAAUAUAAGUAAAACACUACUAAUUCAUCAUAACAAAGUUCCAAAUAGCAAAUAAUGAAAUAAAACACAAUAAAAUGUUAGUAGCCCAGAUCACUCAUCAUCGUCUUUCUCCUCCUCAUCCUCCUCUUCCUCUUCCCUCAAAUCUUCAUCAUCAUUGAAGACAACUCUCUCCAAUUCUGGCUGCCAAUUCAAAUAAAAAACAUAAAUCAAACUUCAAUUCAAAUAAAUCAACUGCCCAAUUCGAAAUUAAACUUCAAUCCAACAAAACCCAAAGCUAAAUUCGAAAUACCCACUGCCCAAUUCGAUGCCCAAGCCAAAUAAAAGAGAGGAGAGUGCGAUUAGGGUCAGAGCAAUACCUUUACAGCAGCGGGGCGCAGGGCAGCGCGACGGCGGGCUGGCGCAGGGAGGCGCGACGGCGAGCGGCGGGCUGGCGCAGGGAGGCGCGACGGCGAGCGGCGGGUGGGUCAGAGAGGAGAGUGCGAACGUAAAUGGUGAGUGAGGGAGGCGCGAAUUAGGGUUUU
RNAcentral lists this long non-coding RNA (680 nucleotides) under Salvia miltiorrhiza (redroot sage). RNAcentral's name for it is "long non-coding RNA (SMIL_LNC005485)". The record is from RNAcentral. Lineage: Eukaryota; Viridiplantae; Streptophyta; Magnoliopsida; Lamiales; Lamiaceae.